GACGAACGCUGGCGGCGUGCCUAAUACAUGCAAGUCGAACGCACUCUCGUUUAGAUUGAAGGAGUUUGCUCCUGAUUGAUAAACAUUUGAGUGAGUGGCGGACGGGUGAGUAACACGUGGGUAACCUGCCCUAAAGUGGGUGAUAACAUUUGGAAACAGAUGCUAAUACCGCCUAAAACCUAACACCGCAUGGUGUAGGGUUGAAAGAUGGUUUCGGCUAUCACUUUAGGAUGGACCCGCGGUGCAUUAGUUAGUUGGUGAGGUAAAGGCUCACCAAGACCGUGAUGCAUAGCCGACCUGAGAGGGUAAUCGGCCACACUGGGACUGAGACACGGCCCAGACUCCUACGGGAGGCAGCAGUAGGGAAUCUUCCACAAUGGACGAAAGUCUGAUGGAGCAACGCCGCGUGAGUGAAGAAGGUUUUCGGAUCGUAAAACUCUGUUGUUGGAGAAGAAUGUAUCUGAUAGUAACUGAUCAGGUAGUGACGGUAUCCAACCAGAAAGCCACGGCUAACUACGUG
This 520-nucleotide ribosomal RNA is filed under the name uncultured bacterium. RNAcentral describes it as "partial 16S ribosomal RNA". It matches the Rfam family "Bacterial small subunit ribosomal RNA", at positions 28 to 507 of the family's 1533-position model. The record is from RNAcentral.